UGCGCAGUCUGAUGGCUGAGGCCUGGGCUACUCUUCGGGUUUUUGCAGCCGGUAGCUGGGGCGCCUGGAGAAGGGAAAGGGAAUGCAGUAGAGUAGGGCGCGCCUGGGACCCUGACUCAGCCCCAAGUGAGCCCGAGGUAUUUUCCUUAUAUGAUCAGGCCUCCGUGGCCGGCGCUGCUGGUCCGGAGCCUGAGAGGAUUAUGAAAACGUGGCAGGGUUUCCUGCUUUCUGGAACUCGCCCUGUAGACAAACGACGAGCUCCGCCUAAAUGCUGGGAUUAAAGGCGUGCUCCUCUACGCAAGGCUUUAACCUAAUCGUUUUUCGUGAAAACUUUCAAGGAAUUACAGAAAUGUGAAAAGGUCCGUGCAGAGAACCUGCUGUUUGCUCUUUCACAUCUGCGCAUUAAAACCUUGUCUUUAAAAGAUUGACGUUGACUUCACCCCGCGAACACUUCAGCAUACGUUAUUUACAGUUCUCUUAGGAGUUUUCAUGAAGUCAUUCGCAUACAAAGCUCAAACUAGAAUUGCAGUACUGGCUGCUGAGGAGAGCAAGCAAAGUCCUCGGGAGCUGCAAUAGUUUUUAACAUGUGUGUGGUACAUGACUAUAAUCACAGCACUUGAGAGGCCAUUUGUGUCAGCACGGACUACACAAGACCCUGUGUCGUCCCCACUCCCCACCCCCACAUAGUGACGGUACAAGUGGAAAGCUGUGCACAUGCACACAGUUAGUCUGCCUUGGUGAGGUCUUCAG
Microtus oregoni (creeping vole) is the source of this 750-nucleotide long non-coding RNA. RefSeq lists it as uncharacterized. The transcript is spliced from 3 exons. NCBI's taxonomy places the organism in Eukaryota, Metazoa, Chordata, Mammalia, Rodentia, Cricetidae. The record is from RefSeq and is a predicted model, not a curated record.